RNAcentral lists this transfer RNA (89 nucleotides) under Chloropicon sp. RCC4434. RNAcentral's name for it is "tRNA-Ile". It matches the Rfam family "tRNA". Rfam says of the family: Transfer RNA (tRNA) molecules are approximately 80 nucleotides in length. Their secondary structure includes four short double-helical elements and three loops (D, anti-codon, and T loops). Further hydrogen bonds mediate the characteristic L-shaped molecular structure. tRNAs have two regions of fundamental functional importance: the anti-codon, which is responsible for specific mRNA codon recognition, and the 3' end, to which the tRNAs corresponding amino acid is attached (by aminoacyl-tRNA synthetases). tRNAs cope with the degeneracy of the genetic code in two manners: having more than one tRNA (with a specific anti-codon) for a particular amino acid; and 'wobble' base-pairing, i.e. permitting non-standard base-pairing at the 3rd anti-codon position. Lineage: Eukaryota; Viridiplantae; Chlorophyta; Chloropicophyceae; Chloropicales; Chloropicaceae. The record is from RNAcentral.
GCAUCUAUGGCCGAGGGGUCGAAGGCAGUGGACUCAUAAUCCUCUUUCCUAUAUUAAGGACAUCGCUGGUUCAAAUCCAGCUAGAUGCA